UCUCACUUUGACCUUGUCUCUGCUACAGCACAUUGGACUGCUUUUAUUCACAUGAACUAUGUAGAACUGGUGGAGGACAAGAAAAAUAAACAUUUAAAACAAGUUUUAAAAGAAAUAAUUUGAGGUCACAGUUUCAUAUGGAGGCCAUCUUUUUCCCAUUUGAUUAGUGAUUUCUGGAAUCUUCUCACUGGACAUCUAAUCACAAUUGAGGUUUUUGGAAGGAGAUGUUGCCUGGCCUGCUGAGUUCCUCCUGCAUUUUGUGUGUUUUGGUUUGGAUUUCCAGCAUCUGCAGAUUUUCUCAUGUUUAUGCUGCCUUGCCAGGAGGUGGUGUAGUGGCAUAUGCACCGGACUUUGAGGGAAGUGGUCCUGGGUUCGAAUCCGAUCUGCGCCUUGCACCCUUUCCAUCUGUGCUGGGAUGAGCAUCCAGUUAGCAACUCGGCCUCAUAAAAAAAGACAAAAAUGCUAAAGGAAUGGCAAGGUUGCUGCCCGGUGCACCACAAGGCAUGGAAAGGAACAGCAACGGAUGCUGCGUGAGCUGCUGAGUUCCUUCAGCACUUUGUGAAUGUUACUCUGGACUUCCCGCAUCUGCACAAUCCACAAUGUUUAUUGUGGAUCAAUUCCAGACACUAACUAAAUUCAUCAUGUUACUUCUGGUUUGGUUGUCAGUUGUGUUCACUCUAUUUCCCUUUGUUCUUCACCACUCCACCAAAGUGAACAGUGUCUCCCUAUCUUCUCUGUGUUAUCCUCCUCUAUCUCUAUCAGAUCACAUUCUCUAUUCCAAGGAGAACAACCCCGGUUUCUCCAGUUUUUUACCACACAAUUAAAUGGAUCAUUUUAGAACAGUUUUUCUGCACCCUCUCUAAAUUCUUCUUCGUCUUACCAGAAGUGUGGUAGCCAGAAAUGGGGACAAUAACUCUGUUGCAACUGAGCUAAUGCUUAAUAAAGAUUUAUCAUGACCUUUUUGCCUUCAUACCCUCUGCCACUCUGCUUGAGGGUAAGAGGAGGAGUUUGGCAUUGAAAUGUUUCCAGAGCAAGAAGCUUGUGUUGUGCCAGCUUUAAAUUGGCACUGGUUUAGAAGGGAUUCCUGGAAAACAGCAUCAACAGAGCAUUGCCUAGCAAUAACAUGACAAAACCUGUUAUAUUGAUGGUGUAUUCAUGCAGAGUUUUUAUUUUCUGGUGAGACAUUUUUAAAAGAAUCUGAUUUAGUGGUUUAAACAGUGGGCGCCAGUCUCCUGGACUCGGAACAAAAUCGUGUCAUUAUAAAUGCUAACCUGGAUUUGCAACAUUUUGAUUUAUUUUUACAUCUGUGUUCCUGUACUUUAUCUCAAGAGUUAUAAAAGUACUUACUCUUCAUCUCGCCUACUUGCUCUGUAGCCUUUGUUCUUACCUCUCGCAUUUAAAAUUGCCUCUGACAAUUUGUUCAUUUCUUUGCUGGCAGCCAAUAAAAGUCAU
Long non-coding RNA from Mobula hypostoma (lesser devil ray), 1452 nucleotides. RefSeq lists it as uncharacterized. The transcript has 4 exons. The record is from RefSeq and is a predicted model, not a curated record. Lineage: Eukaryota; Metazoa; Chordata; Chondrichthyes; Myliobatiformes; Myliobatidae.